UUGUUUGCAGGUGCAGCAGCAUCAAGAUUCACACACAAAUUCUACCUUCAUGUUUUUGGUGCUGAGAAUCUUGAUGAUGCUGCAUCAGCAAUAGA
This is a non-coding RNA of Cajanus cajan (pigeon pea), 95 nucleotides long. The record is from Rfam. Lineage: Eukaryota; Viridiplantae; Streptophyta; Magnoliopsida; Fabales; Fabaceae.